This 253-nucleotide unclassified non-coding RNA is filed under the name plant metagenome. RNAcentral describes it as "partial contains small subunit ribosomal RNA, internal transcribed spacer 1, and 5.8S ribosomal RNA". The record is from RNAcentral.
UUUCCGUAGGUGAACCUGCGGAAGGAUCAUUACUGUGUUUUGAAUGAAGUUGUUCUGGUCCUUCGGGGCAAGUGAACGCUUCUCUCAAUCCAUCUUACACCUGUGCACCUAUCGGGGAAGACUUGGAUCUAAGUUGGGUUACGACGGCGAUCUACAGUCUCCUCUUUAUACCAAAUAACAGUUUUAGAAAGUCUUUUUUGCUUGAUGCAAACUUAAAUAAAUACAACUUUCAGCAACGGAUCUCUUGGCUCUC